GGUUGUGUGGUCUAGUGGUAUGAUACCUGCUUCGGGAUCUCUGUAUAACAGAGGAGCUCAAGUGCAGGUGGCCCGGAGUUCGAAUCUCCGCUCAACCC
Fomitiporia mediterranea MF3/22 is the source of this 98-nucleotide transfer RNA. It matches the Rfam family "tRNA". From Rfam's summary of the family: Transfer RNA (tRNA) molecules are approximately 80 nucleotides in length. Their secondary structure includes four short double-helical elements and three loops (D, anti-codon, and T loops). The record is from Rfam. NCBI's taxonomy places the organism in Eukaryota, Fungi, Basidiomycota, Agaricomycetes, Hymenochaetales, Hymenochaetaceae.